This 923-nucleotide ribosomal RNA is filed under the name uncultured bacterium. RNAcentral describes it as "bacterial SSU rRNA". It matches the Rfam family "Bacterial small subunit ribosomal RNA", at positions 604 to 1533 of the family's 1533-position model. The record is from RNAcentral.
GGGGCUCAACCCCCGUAUGGCCAUAGAAACUGAUAGACUAGAGUGCAGGAGAGGGCAAUGGAAUUCCAUGUGUAGCGGUAAAAUGCGUAGAUAUAUGGAGGAACACCAGUGGCGAAGGCGGUUGCCUGGCCUGUAACUGACGCUGAAGCACGAAAGCGUGGGGAGCAAAUAGGAUUAGAUACCCUAGUAGUCCACGCCGUAAACGAUGAAUACUAAGUGUUGGAGAAAUUCAGUGCUGCAGUUAACGCAAUAAGUAUUCCGCCUGGGGAGUAUGCACGCAAGUGUGAAACUCAAAGGAAUUGACGGGACCCCGCACAAGCGGUGGAUUAUGUUGUUUAAUUCGACGCAACGCGAAGAACCUUACCAGGCCUUGACAUACUCAGCAAAACCCUAGAGAUAGGGUGGAGGUUAUCUGGGAUACAGGUGGUGCAUGGUUGUCGUCAGCUCGUGUCGUGAGAUGUUGGGUUAAGUCCCGCAACGAGCGCAACCCUUGUCUUUAGUUACCAUCAUUCAGUUGGGGACUCUAGAGAGACUGCCGGUGAUAAACCGGAGGAAGGUGGGGAUGACGUCAAAUCAUCAUGCCCCUUAUGGCCUGGGCUACAAACGUAAUACAAUGGCGUAUACAAAGGGAUGCGAAAGGGUGACCUGGAGCAAAACUCACAAAGUACGUCUCAGUUCAGAUUGGAGUCUGCAACUCGACUCCAUGAAGGCGGAAUCGCUAGUAAUCGCGGAUCAGCAUGCCGCGGUGAAUACGUUCUCGGGGUUUGUACACACCGCCCGUCAAACCAUGAGAGUUGGUAAUACCCGAAGCCGGUGGCCUAACCUCGCAAGAGGAGGGAGCCGUCGAAGGUAGGAUCGAUGAUUAGGGUUAAGUCGUAANCAAGGUAUCCCUACGGGAACGUGGGGCUGGAUCACCUCCUUCU